RNAcentral lists this ribosomal RNA (497 nucleotides) under uncultured bacterium. RNAcentral describes it as "partial 16S ribosomal RNA". It matches the Rfam family "Bacterial small subunit ribosomal RNA", at positions 28 to 507 of the family's 1533-position model. The record is from RNAcentral.
GAUGAACGCUGGCGGCGUGCCUAAUACAUGCAAGUCGAGCGAACAGACGAGGAGCUUGCUCCUCUGACGUUAUCGGCGGACGGGUGAGUAACACGUGGAUAACCUACCUAUAAGACUGGGAUAACUUCGGGAAACCGGCUCUAAUACCGUAUAAUCAAUUGAACCGCAUUGUUCAAUAGUGAAAGACGGUUUUGCUGUCACUUAUUGAUGGAUCCGCGCCGCAUUAGCUAGUUGGUAAGGUAACGGCUUACCAAGGCAACGAUGAGUAGCCGACCUGAGAGGGGGAUGGGCAAAACUGGAACUGAGACACGGUCAAGACUCCUAGGGGAGGCAGAAGUAGGGAAUCUUCCGAAAUGGGCGAAAGCCUGACGGAGCAACGCGGCGGGAGUAAUGAAGGUCUUCGGAUCGUAAAACUCUGUGAUUAGGGAAGAACAAAUGUGUAAGUAACUAUGCACGUCUUGACGGUACCUAAUCAGAAAGCCACGGCUAACUACGUG